Molecule: ribosomal RNA, 397 nt
Filed under: uncultured bacterium
Lineage: Bacteria
Description: partial 16S ribosomal RNA
Rfam family: Bacterial small subunit ribosomal RNA
Source: RNAcentral
ACACGUAGGUGGCAAGCGUUGUCCGGAAUUAUUGGGCGUAAAGCGCGCGCAGGCGGUCCUUUAAGUCUGAUGUGAAAGCCCACGGCUCAACCGUGGAGGGUCAUUGGAAACUGGGGGACUUGAGUGCAGAAGAGGAAAGUGGAAUUCCAAGUGUAGCGGUGAAAUGCGUAGAGCUUUGGAGGAACACCAGUGGCGAAGGCGACUAUCUGGUCUGUAACUGACGCUGAGGCGCGAAAGCGUGGGGAGCAAACAGGAUUAGAUACCCUGGUAGUCAACGACGUAAACGAUGAGUGCUAGGUGUUAGGGGGUUUCCGCCCCUCAGUGCUGCAGCUAACGCAUUAAGCACUCCGCCUGGGGAGUACGGUCGCAAGACUGAAACUCAAAUGAAUUGACGGGG